Molecule: long non-coding RNA, 503 nt
Organism: Clupea harengus (Atlantic herring)
Lineage: Eukaryota; Metazoa; Chordata; Actinopteri; Clupeiformes; Clupeidae
Source: Ensembl
CAGCUUGAGUGCCAAAUGUGAUUAUUUUUCCAGGUGGAAGGAGUGUGUGUGUGUGUGUGUGUGUGAGAGAGAGAGAGAGAAUGAGAUAGGAGGUGUGUGUGUGUGUGAGAGAGAGAGAGAGAGAGAGGGAGAGAAUGAGAUAGAAGGUGUGUGUGUGUGUGAGAGAGAGAGAGAGAGAAUGAGAUAGGAGGUGUGUGUGAGAGAGAGAGAGAGGGAGAGAAUGAGAUAGAAGGUGUGUGUGUGUGUGAGAGAGAGAGAGAGAGAGGGAGAGAAUGAGAUAGAAGGUGUGUGUGUGUGUGAGAGAGAGAGAGAGAGAAUGAGAUAGGAGGUGUGUGUGUGAGAGAGAGAGAGGGAGAGAAUGAGAUAGAAGGUGUGUGUGUGUGAGAGAGAGAGAGAGAGAAUGAGAUAGGAGGUGUGUGUGUGUGUGAGAGAGAGAGAGAGAGAGAGAGAGAGAGAAUGAGAUAGAAGGUGUGUGUGUGUGUGAGAGAGAGAGAGAGAGAGAG